AUCCGGGUUGCGGACAGUGUCUGGUGGGUAGUUUGACUGGGGCGGUCUCCUCCCAAAGAGUAACGGAGGAGCACGAAGGUUAGCUAAUCCUGGUCGGACAUCAGGAGGUUAGUGCAAUGGCAUAAGCUAGCUUGACUGCGAGAGUGACGGCUCGAGCAGGUGCGAAAGCAGGUCAUAGUGAUCCGGUGGUUCUGAAUGGAAGGGCCAUCGCUCAACGGAUAAAAGGUACUCCGGGGAUAACAGGCUGAUACCGCCCAAGAGUUCAUAUCGACGGCGGUGUUUGGCACCUCGAUGUCGGCUCAUCACAUCCUGGGGCUGAAGUAGGUCCCAAGGGUAUGGCUGUUCGCCAUUUAAAGUGGUACGCGAGCUGGGUUUAGAACGUCGUGAGACAGUUCGGUCCCUAUCUGCCGUGGGCGCUGGAGAAUUGAGGGGGGCUGCUCCUAGUACGAGAGGACCGGAGUGGACGCAUCACUGGUGUUCGGGUUGUCAUGCCAAUGGCACUGCCCGGUAGCUAAAUGCGGAAGAGAUAAGUGCUGAAAGCAUCUAAGCACGAAACUUGCCCCGAGAUGAGUUCUCCCUGAGACUUUAAGUCUCCUGAAGGAACGUUGAAGACGACGACGUUGAUAGGCCGGGUGUGUAAGCGCAGCGAUGCGUUGAGCUAACCGGUACUAAUGAACCGUGAGGCUUAACCUUACAACGCCGAAG
This 705-nucleotide ribosomal RNA is filed under the name Enterobacter sp. 50588862. RNAcentral describes it as "bacterial LSU rRNA". It matches the Rfam family "Bacterial large subunit ribosomal RNA", at positions 2238 to 2925 of the family's 2925-position model. Lineage: Bacteria; Pseudomonadati; Pseudomonadota; Gammaproteobacteria; Enterobacterales; Enterobacteriaceae. The record is from RNAcentral.